RNAcentral lists this ribosomal RNA (429 nucleotides) under Triticum aestivum (bread wheat). RNAcentral describes it as "partial small subunit ribosomal RNA". Lineage: Eukaryota; Viridiplantae; Streptophyta; Magnoliopsida; Poales; Poaceae. The record is from RNAcentral.
AUGUUGUUGCUAUCCAAGACCCAGGUCAUCCGUAACAAAAUCAUGCUGAUUCUUUGGCAGUCAUGGAACUUGAGAAACAAUGCUAUCCAUAGUGAUGCAAAAGAGACUGUAGCGGGAUCGGUGCAGUAUCUACUGUGCCUGUACUCUGAACCGAUGUCUGAUGCAUAUUCACCGAGCGGAGAGGGGAAUAAAAAUAAGAUUUCGCUGUUCCCAAAUGGCCCAGGACGGCCGAUGAUUCCAACACCUUCUCUUUGGUCUGCACCAAUUUCGGGCACAGCGAAGUUAAAUUUUGAUGCCUCUUUCAUCAGGGAAACGGGAGAUGCUUGGGGGAGUGCAGUCGAUAGGGAUCAUAAGGAGAUUUUCUGUCAGUUGGUCGGUGGCUACCCGGAUGCAGUUCAGUGGAAGAAGCGGGAGGAGCCGCUGCUCUGA